CAAUAGCGUAUAUUUAAGUUGUUGCAGUUAAAAAGCUCGUAGUCGGAUUUUGGCUGAGAACGAACGGUCCGCCGUUAGGUGUGCACUGUUUGGUCUCAGCUUCCUGGUGAGGAGGUGUGCUUCACGGCCACUUAGUCACCGUGGUUACUUUGAAAAAAUUAGAGUGUUCAAAGCGGGCUUACGCUUGAAUAUAUUAGCAUGGAAUAACACCAUAGGACUCCUGUCCUAUUUCGUUGGUCUCGGGACGGGAGUAAUGAUUAAGAGGAACAGUUGGGGGCAUUUGUAUUUCAUCGUCAGAGGUGAAAUUCUUGGAUUUAUGAAAGACGAACUUCUGCGAAAGCAUUUGCCAAGGAUGUUUUCAUUGA
This 365-nucleotide ribosomal RNA is filed under the name uncultured eukaryote. RNAcentral describes it as "partial 18S ribosomal RNA". It matches the Rfam family "Eukaryotic small subunit ribosomal RNA", at positions 592 to 976 of the family's 1831-position model. The record is from RNAcentral.